Scleropages formosus (Asian bonytongue) is the source of this 221-nucleotide long non-coding RNA. RefSeq lists it as uncharacterized. The transcript has 3 exons. The record is from RefSeq and is a predicted model, not a curated record. Lineage: Eukaryota; Metazoa; Chordata; Actinopteri; Osteoglossiformes; Osteoglossidae.
CUCCAGUCCUGGUCCAGUGUUCCAUUUGAUUAGAGGGACACUGAAGCAGCUCUACAUGUGAGUCUACAAGGGACAUUGAUUGCAUAAACCACUGCAUCAAUCAAGGCUUGAAACAAGUUCUGAACAACUGAGACUGGGUAGGUUUAUUUGACUUUGUUGACACUUCAGGACUAUCAUCAGAUGAGGAAGACUCCUGAUGAUUCCACUGGAUCAUGGCCUGA